RNAcentral lists this ribosomal RNA (195 nucleotides) under agricultural soil bacterium CRS5648T18-2. RNAcentral describes it as "partial 16S ribosomal RNA". It matches the Rfam family "Bacterial small subunit ribosomal RNA", at positions 337 to 525 of the family's 1533-position model. The record is from RNAcentral.
GCCUACGGGAGGCAGCAGUGGGGAAUUGUUCGCAAUGGGCGCAAGCCUGACGACGCAACGCCGCGUGGAGGAUGAAGGUCUUCGGAUUGUAAACUCCUGUUGCUCGGGACGAAAAGCUUCGACCUAACACGUCGAAGUCUGACGGUACCGAGUGAGGAAGCCCCGGCUAACUCUGUGCCAGCAGCCGCGGUAAUA